GCGAUCAUACCAGCACUAAUGCACCGGAUCCCAUCAGAACUCCGAAGUUAAGCGUGCUGGGCGAGAGUAGUACUAAGAUGGGUGACCUCUUGGAGUCCUCGUGUUGCACCCC
RNAcentral lists this ribosomal RNA (112 nucleotides) under Spirodela intermedia. Lineage: Eukaryota; Viridiplantae; Streptophyta; Magnoliopsida; Alismatales; Araceae. The record is from RNAcentral.